UACAGAGGGCCCAAGCGUUGUUCGGAUUCACUGGGCGUAAAGGGUGCGUAGGCGGUCGGGUAAGUCUGAUGUGAAAUCUCACAGCUUAACUGUGAAACUGCAUUGGAUACUAUUCGGCUUGAGAGUUGGAGGGGGGACUGGAAUUCUUGGUGUAGCAGUGAAAUGCGUAGAUAUCAGGAGGAACACCGGUGGCGAAGGCGGGUCUCUGGGCCGAUACUGACGCUGAGGAGCGAAAGCGUGGGGAGCGAACAGG
Molecule: ribosomal RNA, 253 nt
Filed under: uncultured bacterium
Lineage: Bacteria
Description: partial 16S ribosomal RNA
Rfam family: Bacterial small subunit ribosomal RNA
Source: RNAcentral